UAUCGGUAGUUUACUGCCGUUGGAAGGGGGUGGAAACUUUCUAGGCCUGCCUAGGGACGAGUACAUCCUGUUCUUAACCCUUGACUUUUUGCGCACUCAUGUUUCCUCGGCGGGCUUGCCCGCCAUGAGGACAUUACAAACCCUUUGUAGUAGCAGUAACUUCAGUUAAUAAUAAAUAUUAAAACUUUCAACAACGGAUCUCUUGGUUCU
RNAcentral lists this unclassified non-coding RNA (210 nucleotides) under rhizosphere metagenome. RNAcentral describes it as "partial ribosomal RNA internal transcribed spacer region". The record is from RNAcentral.